GGAGAGGUGACCGAGCUGGCUGAAGGUGUGCGCCUGCUAAGCGUAUGUAGGUGAAAGCUUACCGAGGGUUCGAAUCCCUCCCUCUCCGCCA
Molecule: transfer RNA, 91 nt
Filed under: Candidatus Cloacimonadota bacterium
Lineage: Bacteria; Pseudomonadati; Candidatus Cloacimonadota
Also listed under: 1 other name
Description: tRNA-Ser
Rfam family: tRNA
About the family: Transfer RNA (tRNA) molecules are approximately 80 nucleotides in length. Their secondary structure includes four short double-helical elements and three loops (D, anti-codon, and T loops).
Source: RNAcentral